CGCCAAGAAGCUAAAUAGCCAAAGCGUUAGCUUUUUAAGCUAAAGAUUGGUGACUGCGCCUCACCCUUGGUGG
This 73-nucleotide transfer RNA is filed under the name Sirembo imberbis (golden cusk). RNAcentral describes it as "tRNA-Lys". It matches the Rfam family "tRNA". Rfam says of the family: Transfer RNA (tRNA) molecules are approximately 80 nucleotides in length. Lineage: Eukaryota; Metazoa; Chordata; Actinopteri; Ophidiiformes; Ophidiidae. The record is from RNAcentral.